AGAGUUUGAUCCUGGCUCGGAUGAACGCUGGCGGCGCGCUUAAUGCAUGCAAGUCGAGCGAUGAGGCCCUCUUCGGGGGGUACAUCAGCGGCAGACGGGUGAGUAACACGUAGGUGAUCUACCCCAGAGACGGGGAUAACGGGUGGAAACAUCCGCUAAUACCGGAUAGGCUUGUUCGGUCAAAGGGACAAGGAAAGGCUCCGGCGCUCUGGGAGGAGCCUGCGGCCCAUCAGCUAGUUGGCGGGGUAACGGCCCACCAAGGCAAAGACGGGUAGGGGGUGUGAGAGCAUGGCCCCCCACAAUGGGACUGGAACACGGCCCAUACUCCUACGGGAGGCAGCAGCAGGGAAUAUUGCACAAUGGAAGGAAGUCUGAUGCAGCGACGCCGCGUGGAUGAAAAAGGCCCUCGGGUUGUAAAAUCCUUUACAGGGAGAAGAGGAAGGACGGUACCCCUGGAACAAGUGUCGGCUAACUACGUGCCAGCAGCCGCGGUAAGACGUAGGACACGAGCGUUAUCCGGAUUUACUGGGCGUAAAGCGUCUGCAGGCGGACAGGUAAGUUGGGCGUGAAAGCUCCGGGCCCAACUCCGGAGAGGUCGUUCAAUGCUGCGUGUCUAGAGGGUGUCAGAGGGGAGUGGAAUUUCCGGAGUAGCGGUAAAAUGCGCAGAGAUCGGAAAGAACACCAAUGGCGAAUGCAGCUCCUCUGGGGCAACCCUGACGCUAAGAGACGAAAGCUAGGGGAGCGAACAGGAUUAGAGACCCUGGUAGUCCUAGCCCUAAACGAUGGGA
Molecule: ribosomal RNA, 788 nt
Filed under: uncultured organism
Description: bacterial SSU rRNA
Rfam family: Bacterial small subunit ribosomal RNA
Source: RNAcentral